AUCAGUAAUAUCGGCCAAUGAAAAAACAAGAACUAAUAAAAAAUUUCAAAUUGAAGAUGAGUUAUAUAGUAAAGUAAUAAUCCACUUGUCACAUAAAUAAGCCCAAUUUAAUGGGCUUUUAAAUUUACAGCAAUCCAGUCCAGAAUCCAGAUUACUUUGUUGAAAAACUCCAUUGCUAUCAGAUUCAUUUUGCCGAAGUUAGCAGAUUUCUGUCCAUAACUCUAAAUACAGCAGCAGAAGUUGAAGAAGAUGGUGAUGCGAGGACAGCCGUUAGUCACCAAGCUGGCGGCGCUGGCAAAGGAUGUGGUGUUCCCGGCGACGAUAAUCGCCGCUCUCGUCUACUCGCCGCCCGAUUCUUUGCGCGGAAAACCACAAUCUAAAUCCAGUUGAUUCAGGACGUCGAGUUCUUUGGAAUAGGUGAAAAGUUUUUCACGAUGGUUGAACGAGUACCUUUUGGUUAAAGUCGUGAUAUGUUGAAUGAAAAUGGUAUGUAAUAAUUGCUAUACUGUUUCAGUGAUGUAAACCGGUUGUAAACAACUGAGGAAUCUUUCAACUAUCUCAAUGCAGUUCUGUUUCUUUCUA
Long non-coding RNA from Salvia miltiorrhiza (redroot sage), 582 nucleotides. RefSeq lists it as uncharacterized. The transcript has 2 exons. The record is from RefSeq and is a predicted model, not a curated record. Lineage: Eukaryota; Viridiplantae; Streptophyta; Magnoliopsida; Lamiales; Lamiaceae.